UCUGGUGGUGAUGCGUCUAUGGGACAUACCCGUUCUCAUACCGAACACGAUGGUCAAGCCACAGACGGCCGAUGGUACUUGGUUGGAGACGACCUGGGAGAGUAGGUGGCUGCCAGAU
RNAcentral lists this ribosomal RNA (118 nucleotides) under Vallitalea pronyensis. Lineage: Bacteria; Bacillati; Bacillota; Clostridia; Lachnospirales; Vallitaleaceae. The record is from RNAcentral.